CUGCAUCUACUGACAGACCUUAAGUAGUCUGCUGUUCUCUUGAUUUGCACCAAAGGAUGAGAAAGAAAAAUCCUUGUACUUUCUGUCUGGGUGGCAGCCCAGGUUGAAUAGGGGCUACAUCA
This 122-nucleotide small nucleolar RNA is filed under the name Vicugna pacos (alpaca). RNAcentral describes it as "Small nucleolar RNA SNORA31 (ENSVPAG00000017670.1)". It matches the Rfam family "Small nucleolar RNA SNORA31". From Rfam's summary of the family: ACA31 (SNORA31) belongs to the H/ACA class of snoRNAs which are thought to guide the sites of modification of uridines to pseudouridines. Lineage: Eukaryota; Metazoa; Chordata; Mammalia; Artiodactyla; Camelidae. The record is from RNAcentral.